GAUGAACGCUGGCGGCGUGCCUAAUACAUGCAAGUCGAGCGAACAGACGAGGAGCUUGCUCCUCUGACGUUAGCGGCGGACGGGUGAGUAACACGUGGAUAACCUACCUAUAAGACUGGGAUAACUUCGGGAAACCGGAGCUAAUACCGGAUAAUAUAUUGAACCGCAUGGUUCAAUAGUGAAAGACGGUUUUGCUGUCACUUAUAGAUGGAUCCGCGCCGCAUUAGCUAGUUGGUAAGGUAACGGCUUACCAAGGCAACGAUGCGUAGCCGACCUGAGAGGGUGAUCGGCCACACUGGAACUGGGACACGGUCAAGACUCCUACGGGAGGCAGCAGUAGGGAAUCUUCCGCAAUGGGGGAAAGCCUGACGGAGCAACGCCGCGUGAGUGAUGAAGGUCUUCGGAUCGUAAAACUCUGUUAUUAGGGAAGAACAAAUGUGUAAGUAACUAUGCACGUCUUGACGGUACCUAAUCAGAAAGCCACGGCUAACUACGUG
This 497-nucleotide ribosomal RNA is filed under the name uncultured bacterium. RNAcentral describes it as "partial 16S ribosomal RNA". It matches the Rfam family "Bacterial small subunit ribosomal RNA", at positions 28 to 507 of the family's 1533-position model. The record is from RNAcentral.